This 73-nucleotide transfer RNA is filed under the name Alligator mississippiensis (American alligator). It matches the Rfam family "tRNA". Rfam says of the family: Transfer RNA (tRNA) molecules are approximately 80 nucleotides in length. Their secondary structure includes four short double-helical elements and three loops (D, anti-codon, and T loops). Further hydrogen bonds mediate the characteristic L-shaped molecular structure. tRNAs have two regions of fundamental functional importance: the anti-codon, which is responsible for specific mRNA codon recognition, and the 3' end, to which the tRNAs corresponding amino acid is attached (by aminoacyl-tRNA synthetases). tRNAs cope with the degeneracy of the genetic code in two manners: having more than one tRNA (with a specific anti-codon) for a particular amino acid; and 'wobble' base-pairing, i.e. permitting non-standard base-pairing at the 3rd anti-codon position. Lineage: Eukaryota; Metazoa; Chordata; Crocodylia; Alligatoridae. The record is from Rfam by way of RNAcentral.
GACUGUGUGACCUGCUGGAUAAGGCAUCUGACUUCAAGUCAAAAGAUUGAGGGUUCAAAUCCUUUCAUGGUUG